RNAcentral lists this ribosomal RNA (301 nucleotides) under Stasimopus sp. 58STAS01. RNAcentral's name for it is "partial large subunit ribosomal RNA". It matches the Rfam family "Archaeal large subunit ribosomal RNA", at positions 1970 to 2549 of the family's 2987-position model. The record is from RNAcentral. Lineage: Eukaryota; Metazoa; Arthropoda; Arachnida; Araneae; Ctenizidae.
AAAUUAGUAUUUUCUGCUCAUGACUUUAAAUAGCCGCAAACUUAUGUGCUAAGGUAGCAUAAUCACUUGCCUUCCAAUUUAAGGCUAGAAUGAACGGAUUAACGAGUUGAAUUCUUUAUUAUUACGACUCCUUAAAAUUUACAUUUAAGUAAAAAGGCUUAAAUAUAUAGAGAAGACGACAAGACCCCGUCGAACUUUAAUUAAAUUUUUAACUGGGGCGGUAUAAAACCAAUUCUUUUUAACAUUAAAAUAUAAUUACACCCUAUAAAGGAUUAUAAACAAGUUACCGCGGGGAUAACAG